Molecule: small RNA, 29 nt
Filed under: Bombyx mori (domestic silkworm)
Lineage: Eukaryota; Metazoa; Arthropoda; Insecta; Lepidoptera; Bombycidae
Description: piRNA piR-bmo-1382781
Source: RNAcentral
UGACUGAUGGGAUUCCCUAGCAAUAGGUU